UGCAGCCUGAUUCAGACCUCAGUUAUGAGGUGCCCGCUGUCCUAAGUGAGGCUGAUGAGAGCUGGGAAGGCGAGAGGAGGCACAGACAAAGGAAAAGAAGAGCAAAAGGGAGAGGGACAAGAGUAGAGCGUGCAGGUCUUGGUCCAGGAGACACAGAGCAGAGAGAAGGAGAGAAUAUAGAGGGAGGAGAUGGACCAAGUGGAAGAUGCCAGAGAGCUGGAAGAGAGAGUGCAGAUGUUUCAGGUGGAAAAGGAGAGAGUGUGGGCCCUGCACCAGGUGACAGAGGCCAGAGAGGUGGAAGAGGUCAGAGCGGUGGAAGAGGAGAUAAUGCAGGUCCAAGUACUGGAGUUGGCAGCAGAGGAAGGAGAGGGAAAGGAGGCAGAGAUGCAGAGGAAGAGAACAGAGUUCAGAUGAUCCAAAUUGACCGAAGGGUCCGGACAGAGGCACUCAUUCAGGGCAUGAGUGAAGUGAGGCUAUGAGCACUAGCAACCCAGGUCUUCUCCCGGAAUCCUGGAUUGGUUUUUGAUGCACUUCCUCCAUUGGACAGCACAACUCCACCUAACGCUGCUCUUCCAUGGUGCACCUGUGGGAACUGCAGGGAAAUGGCCACAGACGCUGAAAGGAAAUGCUGUGGCCAGGGGCCUGAGAAAUGCAUCAGCAAA
This is a long non-coding RNA of Carassius carassius (crucian carp), 662 nucleotides long. RefSeq lists it as uncharacterized. Lineage: Eukaryota; Metazoa; Chordata; Actinopteri; Cypriniformes; Cyprinidae. The transcript has 3 exons. The record is from RefSeq and is a predicted model, not a curated record.